RNAcentral lists this transfer RNA (76 nucleotides) under Candidatus Omnitrophota bacterium. RNAcentral describes it as "tRNA-Thr". It matches the Rfam family "tRNA". From Rfam's summary of the family: Transfer RNA (tRNA) molecules are approximately 80 nucleotides in length. Their secondary structure includes four short double-helical elements and three loops (D, anti-codon, and T loops). The record is from RNAcentral. Lineage: Bacteria; Pseudomonadati; Candidatus Omnitrophota.
GCUGGCGUAGCUCAGUUGGUAGAGCAGCGGUUUCGUAAACCGCAGGUCGAUGGUUCGACUCCAUUCGCCAGCUCCA